Bos indicus x Bos taurus (hybrid cattle) is the source of this 1777-nucleotide long non-coding RNA. Lineage: Eukaryota; Metazoa; Chordata; Mammalia; Artiodactyla; Bovidae. The record is from Ensembl.
AUGUGGAAGUCAUUAAGCUGGAGAAGGGGGGCUGGGGGGAGAGCGGGAGGCAGGGAGAGGAGGAGGAGGAAGGGGGUAGGGGCCAGAGUUCUGAGGGUUGCCAGUUGUCAGCCUGGGAACAUGAGCAAACUCCCUGGGAGCAAGCUAUGUCCAAGAAGAUGGAUGCCAUUCACACGUGUGCCCCUGGGGUGUAAGACUGUGGCGACGAAGGCUUGUCACCCCCACCCUCUACCCUGCUCAGUGUUUCGUCUGACAAUCCAAAGCACCACCAGAGGACCCCAGGGAAAAGAUAAAGCCAGCCCGAUGGAGCCAUCAAAAUUAUGGAAUGUCCACUUUGGAAGCUGUGAAACUUAAUUUAUGCUUCUGUUACUUCUGCUACUGUCACAUCAGGAUAUUACAUCAAGACGGAGAAGAAAACAGAAAAAUAAUCAGUGUAAGUCACGGAGAGACCCACUAUUUGAAUACUCACGAACUCUGUGCUUGGCCAAGCAUGAGUCGGCCACCCUUGUGAGCCAAGUUUCCUUUAUCAGGAAGUCUUUGACUAGAGGUCAGAGCAAGUAUUUGAAAUGACCUGGAGGCAGAUCCUAGGAGAGGAGGUGUCCCGGAGCCAUAAUAUCUCAAGAGACUAACUAAAUGGCAGCCGUUUGUGAUACAGUCUCCCCAGAUCUGUCUCAAACAUUUUGGAAACCAUUUCUGCUUGCUCUCAUGCCCUCUCUUGGGAGUUAUUAGUGCCUUAUGUCUAUUAACCAUUGUGUGAUGUGGCUUUUCUCUCCACACUGUGGCGAGGCAGCCAUGAAACCCCUCCCUUCCCAGGGGAAGCAGAGACUCUGGCUUUGUGAGGAGGCCAGAGUGAGGCAUCUGGGGAGGUGAGGGCAGCUUCUUGUUAGGGGCUAAGAAUGAGAGUGUCUGGUGAGUUCCCUGUCCUCAGAGGGUGUGUGCUGUCAGGGGCAAGGUAAUCCCUAGUGGGAGGCGGAGGGGCCUGGAGACCAGGAGAUUCGGGAAUGGAGCAAAGCUACUCCACCUCUAUUGGUGAUCAAAGAAGAGGUUGAACUGGUACAGUUGAACCUGACGGAAGAUGGGGUUUAGACCUACAUCAGUUCAGUUCAGUCGCUCAGUCGUGUCCGACUCUUUGCGACCCCAUGAACCGCAGCAUGCCAGGCCUCCCUGUCCAUCACCAACUCCCAGAGUUCACUCAGACUCACGUCCAUUGAGUCAGUGAUGCCAUCCAGCCAUCUCAUCCUCUGUCCUCCCCUUCUCCUCCUGCCUCCAAUCCCUCCCAAAGACUUUUUUUGGCGGGGGCAUGUGGGAUUUUAGUUCCCAACCAGGGAUUGAACCUUCACCCCCAGAGCACAGAGCUUUAACCACUGGACUGCCAGGGAAGUCCCAGGAAGGACUUUUUGAGUCAGUGGAUUUACUCAAGGAAGAGAUGUACUAAUGGGGUAUCUUGAUAAAUUGAUGGGUCAGAGAACUCAUCACUUUACCAGGACAGCUAACAGACUGAACGACAGCUUGACAAGUCCCUUCCAGCCCUUAGAUCCUGUGAGCUUUAUCUCACACCUCAUGUUCUCACCCCAACCUGUCCCUGACCCCUAGCCCUUAUUUGAUGCUAAUUUGGCCCAAAGGCAGAGCUCAGAGGUGAGCAUUUGGGAAACAUGUUUUCGAACAUUGAAAAUCAAGCUCGUAUGUUUCUGUGAUGAGCAUACAACUUUUGUUUCAUUGACCGAGUUUGAUUCUGAGAGGUAAUAAACAAUUAGUGAAGAACUGCUUAUAAUUGUCA